Molecule: unclassified non-coding RNA, 1640 nt
Filed under: Ixodes scapularis (black-legged tick)
Lineage: Eukaryota; Metazoa; Arthropoda; Arachnida; Ixodida; Ixodidae
Description: uncharacterized LOC115329034, transcript variant X2
Source: RNAcentral
GGUACGGUAGCAGCUAUUUGCUUGCAGUAUCACUAGAGCAAAAAAUAUUUAAAUGAAACGUCUUUUAAUGCUUUGUUGUGAGCUUUAUAUGGUGCAUGACACUGCAAGCCAAAGCAGCCUGUUUUGGCGGUAUCGAUAUAAAGGCCGCUUUCUAAGAGUAUGUUCUGGCUGUUGGCGCAAUGCGCUGGUCUGUGGGCAAUAAGCGUAACGGUUUCUUAUAGAAUGCGAGCAGGCGUUGUGCGAGCGAAACAGUCAAGCAUGUAGCACUUUCAUUUGUGUACCUUAUGAAACAUUGGGGUGUUGCACCCGCACUUUGAACGUACCAUAACCGACUGUUGUAUUUGCGAAUGAAGGGAAGUUCAGCUUAGUACGACGAGUGCAAAUCUCGUCUUCAGCAUUCGUCCACUUUCGUGGGGCAUUCGGCAGAUCGUAUUGGUAGUAGUAUCCUAAUUCACAUGGUGGCUGUGAUACCUUAGCCGCAAUAAUAUGUGACGACUGACGGCAGGGCCACUUGUUACUGCAAACCUGGGUCCAUAUUUGUUUGUGACAGGUGGUGCAUGCGCUGCUCCUUGGGGAGCUCUGGAACAGGAUAUGCAGUUAGUAAACAUGACGCCUAUCUUCACUGCUUCUUCCCUGUACAGAAUGAAAAAAUUUGCGGUGGUGAAAUUUCCACAAGAAAAAGACUGUGUGGCAGCCGUGCCCCUUUCAUGGCUGUCGGAAAAUCGUGCGAUCUGCCACUGGCCAUCAAAAGAUGCAGGCCUGGAUGCUCCGGCCCUGGCCAAGCAGGAGGCUUCACCAGGCACUGUGGAGGAAGGGUGGGAGCCCUUUUCAGUUGAUGUACUGGGAACUUCGAGCAAGCACCUACCAAAGAGCGGAGAAAAAGCUUACCAAGUGGAUACACACAUGUUCCAUUGAGUCCUCGGAGAUUUCCGACAAUGCAGCACCGGUAGAAAUGAGAGCAGAGGCGACUCAUCCCCGUCUGCAGAUACCAGUACUAUCCCCACAGGCCCCAUCAAGCUCCUGUUCAAGUGACGGUCCUAGUAAUUCUGCUCCGGCAUCGAAGCAGCAGUCACAGCGGGUAGAAGAGCCUUCACAGAUCCAGGCGAAUGAUGGAGCAACCUACAUUGUGCACUUUGCCUGAGGUGGGAGAAGACGCCACCAGCUUGGAGGCACACGAGGUGUGGUUAUGCAACGAGGGAAAAAAGGUGGCACCGAACGAAGAGCAGAUUGAUGUGCGAAUGGAUGCCACUGCGAGCAGAAGGCUUCGGAACCUUUCAACGAUGGACGCUCCUUCUGUCAAGGAAACAUAUCCCUACCUUACGGAUGCCAGGAGGUUCAUCAAAUAUUUCGAAAGACAAAUGAAGAUGGAGCCAAUGCAGUCGAUGGCCCAAGGUAUUGCAAGCGUGAUAAGCCUUCCUACACGCAAGAUUUUGUCGUCCAAGCAAAAGCUCCUUCAAGACGUUGAAAACAUCUUGGCUCAGGACACUGAAUGCAAAUGAGCGAAACACAACCUGGCAGUGGCAGCCCUGAAAAUCUUGUCCAGCAAUGUGAAAGAAGCGGCGGCAUUCAAGCUGGUGUUUGUGGAGGAAGAUGCAAGUUUCGCAAACCUUCUCACUGCUGUCCUUUGUCAUAAAACCUAA